AGUGGCGGACGGGUGAGUAACGCGUAAGAAUCUAACUUCAGGACGGGGACAACAGUGGGAAACGACUGCUAAUACCCGAUGUGCCGCGAGGUGAAACCUAAUUGGCCUGAAGAAGAGCUUGCGUCUGAUUAGCUAGUUGGUGGGGUAAGAGCCUACCAAGGCGACGAUCAGUAGCUGGUCUGAGAGGAUGAGCAGCCACACUGGGACUGAGACACGGCCCAGACUCCUACGGGAGGCAGCAGUGGGGAAUUUUCCGCAAUGGGCGAAAGCCUGACGGAGCAACGCCGCGUGAGGGAGGAAGGUCUUUGGAUUGUAAACCUCUUUUCUCAAGGAAGAAGUUCUGACGGUACUUGAGGAAUCAGCCUCGGCUAACUCCGUGCCAGCAGCCGCGGUAAUACGGGGGAGGCAAGCGUUAUCCGGAAUUAUUGGGCGUAAAGCGUCCGCAGGUGGUCAGCCAAGUCUGCCGUCAAAUCAGGUUGCUUAACGACCUAAAGGCGGUGGAAACUGGCAGACUAGAGAGCAGUAGGGGUAGCAGGAAUUCCCAGUGUAGCGGUGAAAUGCGGAGAGAUUGGGAAGAACAUCGGUGGCGAAAGCGUGCUACUGGGCUGUAUCUGACACUCAGGGACGAAAGCUAGGGGAGCGAAAGGGAUUAGAUACCCCUGUAGUCCUAGCCGUAAACGAUGGAUACUAGGCGUGGCUU
Molecule: ribosomal RNA, 700 nt
Filed under: uncultured bacterium
Lineage: Bacteria
Description: bacterial SSU rRNA
Rfam family: Bacterial small subunit ribosomal RNA
Source: RNAcentral